GAUUUGAGAGGAUCUGCUCAUAGUACGAGAGGACCUGAGUGGACGAGCCUCUAGUGUACCAGUUGUCGUGCCAACGGCAGUGCUGGGUAGCUAUGCUCGGAAAGGAUAACCGCUGAAAGCAUCUAAGCGGGAAACCUGCCUCAAGAUUAGAUCUCCCGAACGUAAGUUCCUUAAGGUCCCUUGAAGAUUACGAGGUUGAUAGGCUUAGGGUGUAAGUUCCGUGAGGAAUUAAGCUGAUGAGUACUAACCGACCGUGAGGCUUACUG
RNAcentral lists this ribosomal RNA (266 nucleotides) under Candidatus Dadabacteria bacterium. Its description in RNAcentral is "partial 23S ribosomal RNA". It matches the Rfam family "Bacterial large subunit ribosomal RNA", at positions 2659 to 2925 of the family's 2925-position model. Lineage: Bacteria; Pseudomonadati; Thermodesulfobacteriota; Candidatus Dadabacteria. The record is from RNAcentral.